GGGGGAGAUGAAGGACUCUUGGAAAGAUUGGAUAUUUACAGGAGAUUGAGGAGCUAAGGGUGAUGCCAAGCAGCGAGCAGCUGCUGCCGGCAGCCGCUCAGCAUGAAAUGGCAAGCAAGGCGAGUAGCGCGAUAGUGAAUAGCGACAGAUGCGAAUUGCAUGUGAUGGUGAGAAACGAGAGAUGUGAGUGGUGGGCAACAACAAUUAACAGGUGAUGCGAGCGAUGGAGAACGACGAUUAAUAGGCAAUACGAAUGGUGGGCAAUGAUGAUCAAUGAGCGAGAUAAGCGGCGGACGACAGUAUACAGUGGCAAGCAACACGAAAGACUUCAGUUGAGUUUUUUGAGUUUUGAUAAUUUGAAUUUUAUCUAUUUUAUUUUAAUUUUUAUUAAAUUUAAAUUUUGAAUAUAUUAAAAUUUUCA
Manihot esculenta (cassava) is the source of this 421-nucleotide long non-coding RNA. RefSeq lists it as uncharacterized. The transcript is spliced from 2 exons. NCBI's taxonomy places the organism in Eukaryota, Viridiplantae, Streptophyta, Magnoliopsida, Malpighiales, Euphorbiaceae. The record is from RefSeq and is a predicted model, not a curated record.